UAGACACAAGGAGAAUUUAUGUUCCUAGACAGACUGUGAGCCAAGUAAAAACUCGAUAGUCAUGGAUAUGCAACGAAAAGGAAUUAUUUGGUGUGGGAGGGAAAAAGAGUCUGAGGAUGGCAGCAGCAAUUCCAAGAACAACAACAGCAAGAAGAAUAAGAGAGAUCAUCUUUUCCUGGGGCUCUCUCUUAGAAAGAAGGGAAAAGGAAUGCUGGCAAUUCAUUGUGCAGGAAGAGAUAUACAAAGUCCAAGCAGGUUAGGUACCAAAAAGUGACAUUUCUGUCUUGGUAGCCGCUGUGACCUAUUGAUAAACAGAGCAAUUGAUAAACACCAAUUAGAUGCCCUGAAUCAUUCCCAGCAGCUAUCAGUGAAAUUAACACCAGCAACAAUGAAAGCAAAGAAUGUUCCUGCGCCUCAGAUUGGGAAGAGGGGCAGCUGUUAAACUCACAUCUUCUCAUGGAGACUCAUUAUGCACAUGAAUAUAUGAGAAGCUCUGUGCAGUCUUGUAGGAAGAAAACUGUUUAACUGUUUCACCCAAUGUUUUCCAAGUCCAUUUGAUAACAGAAGCCAUUUUUCAUCUAACACCUGUUAGCAUCCUGUGGAACUAGUGUUAUGAAAGACACAUCUUAAGAAAAACCCAUCUACCUCAACCUCAGAAGUUUCAGAAAAUUGUGCAUCUUUUCCUGUUCUUUCAUUUUA
Molecule: long non-coding RNA, 699 nt
Filed under: Homo sapiens (human)
Lineage: Eukaryota; Metazoa; Chordata; Mammalia; Primates; Hominidae
Description: HSALNT0400850
Source: RNAcentral